AUAUUUAAAUCAAGUCUAAUUAGUUAACCCUUCUUAACCUUCAAACCCUACUGGAUUUCACUCUCAAAAGCAAAGAUUCAAGAACCCACCUCCUUAUUCGGCUGAUAAACCGACGCGGAAGAAGAAGGGUCGUGGCCGUGGUGGUGGCUGUGCCGGGGUUUCUAGAUCUGAGAAUCAAAUCUCAGACAAAUGAUCUCCUCAUCCCGUUCAUCCAAAAAUUUCAUAACAAAAAAAUCGUCGUCAAGUGUACCACCAUCCAAAAAUUAAUCAUUGUCUUCGCUAAUGGCAGAAACGAUAUCCUUCUCUCCCCCAUGGAAAUCAUCUCAAGGUUUUGAUCGAUAAGUCACUAAACUGCUUGUUUACAUCUUCUAUGAACUUUUCAUAUUCAACAAUAAUUCUUAUAGCAGAAAUUGACUCUAAUUUUUAAGUUAUUAAUAGAUCUAUGGGAUGAAAGUCAUACUUUUUCGGAGCUUUUUCAAGCUUGCGCAGCGGCAGAAUAGGGGCGAUGACAAUUUGACAGCUGCAGAUCUAAAAUUUCUCACUAUUUUUUUGUUUUUCUUUUUUCUUUUUCCAACACUGGUCUGCUCAAUAAUGGUGAUGACAAUUUGCUGCAAAUUUCUCUUUUCUGUUUUUCAUUUUUCCUUUUUCCUUUUUCUUUCCCCAGUGUUGGUCUGCUUGAUAAUGGAGAAUGAUGGGUGUGAUGUUGCUGCAUAUUUGUUGAAAAGAAAUGAUGGAGAACUUUUUCUUUUCCUAGUGUAUAUAUAUUGAUCAAAAGAAUGGGGGAUUUUUUAUCGAUCGAUUGAAGGAUAUUUGUUUGAGAUUUUUUUGUUUUGUUUUCCUCUCCGGCGGAAUUACCGGCGGCAGGAGCUUCGCGGCAGAGGCGGCAUUUUUGAUCAGAGACUUUCUGGUGCGGCGGUUGUGGUGGCUCAUUCGACUUUCUGGGAGAGAGAAAAAUAGGGAGAGAGAUAUAAGGUAUUUUGACGAUUUUGCCCUUUAUUUAAACAGAUUUGUUUAUGUAAUGAAUAAAAAAUAGUUUUUUAUGCCACAUAAGCUGCUUAAGACCCCACACAAUUAGCCACGUCAGUAAUUUCUGAUGUGGCAUGUUCAAUUUGUUGUAAUUGAAAAAAAUUGAUAGUUUAAUCACCCAAAUGACAAAAUUGAAAGGUGGAUCAUAGAAGUGGAAUAUGGCCUAUAGUUUAGGGUACACUACAAGAAAAUCAGUCAUUACCGAUGGGCACUGCCGUCGCCAAUGACCAUAGUGCCGUCGGCAGUGAGGUCAUUGGCGACGGGCACAACCGUCGACCAUGCCGUUGCCCCACAGGUCGUCACCCCUGUUUCCCAUCGUCAGCUGUCGGCAUCAUUGUCUUUACCGACGGUAGUCAUUGGCGACGACGUAAGGUUAUUGGCGACGGCGGUAGCGACGGCAAGGCCUUCGGCAAAGUCCCACAGUUUUUUUGAGGGAAAAACUCAUUACCGACGGCAUGGCCAUUGGCACUGACAGAGUAGCCGUCGGCAAUGACCAUUGUCUCAUGUUUGUCGCUAUAAGGCAUUGGCGACGGCAUAGCUGUCGCCAUUACCCCCGUCGGCAAUGACUACAUAAAUUUUGAAAAUUUUUUUUAAUUUCAAAAUUUCCCUGUUCAUUUACAAAUAUACACCUAUUAUAAACUAAUAACAACCAUCAAAUCACAGCUAUACCUCUUAGAAACUAGUAACCCAAAUCAAUUAUAUUGAUAAAAAAUAUAAUGGUCGUCGGUACAACUCAAAAACUGUACAAAUACAUACAUGAAACUCAGAAUAUAACAUAAACUAAACUAACUACAACCCGUCGCCUGUCUCCAUGUCAUCGAGUCGGCGGUCAUCACCAUGUACUGGAGGAGGCUGCUCGUCAUCAACUCGAUGGUCAUCACCCUGUACUGGAGGAGGCUGCUCGUCAUCAGCUCGGCGGUCAUCACCAGUGCCUCCACCUCCACGAGUCUCAUCAACAAGACCCUACAAAAUUAAAAUAUUAAUAACAAAAUCAAAAUGAAAACAUAUUUGCAUUAUUUUAGUUUGUGUUCUUCAAGUUAGGCGAACGGGACUCGAACUCGAGCUCCGUAUAUCGGAAUUGAGUCCCGUCAGUUGUAACGCGUGUCUAUUACCUACGCAGUGGUAUGUGUGUGUUUGCGUGUCAUUCAGACGGCCGAUGCGGGUUUUGACCUCUCUUUUGGCUUUUUGGCUAAGUGUUGGCUAGUUUUACAAACUGGGCGAUAACUCGGUCUACGUAUGUCAGAAUCGAGUCCCGUCAGUUGUAACGCGUGUCUAUUGCCUACGCGGUGCUAUUGCCUAUGUUUACGUGUCAUUUGGACGAUCGAUGCGGGUUUUGACCUCUUUUUUGGCUUUUUGGCUAAGUGUUGGCUAGUUUUAUAAACUGGGCUCGAACUCGGUCUCCGUAUGUCGGAAUCGAGUCCCGUUAGUUGUAACGCGUGUCUAUUGUCUACGCGGUGCUAUUGCCUGUAUUUGCGUGUCAUUCGGACGACCGAUGCGAGUUUUGACCUCUUUUUCGGCUUUUUGGCUAAGUGUUGGCUAAUUUUGCAAACUGGGCUCGAACUCGGUCUCCAUAUGUCAGAAUCGAGUCCCGUCAGUUGUAACACGUGUCUAUUGCCUACGCGGUACUAUUGCCUGCAUUUACGUGUCAUUCGGAUGGCCGAUGCGGGUUUUGACCUCUUUUUUGGCUUUUUAGCUAAGUGUUGAAUAGUUUUGCAAACUGGGCGAUAACUCGGUCUCCGUAUGUCAGAAUCGAGUCCCGUCAGUUGUAAUGCGUGUCUAUUUCAUACGCGGUGCUAUUUCCUGUGUUUGCGUGUUAACUGGACGACCGAGGUGAGUUUUGGUCUCUUUUUCGACUAAUUUUCUAAGUUUUCUCAAGUUAGGCGUACGGGGCUCGAACUCGGUCUCCGAAUGUCGGAAUUGAGUCCCGUCAGUUGUAACGCGUGUCUAUUGCCUACGCGGUGCUAUUGCAUGUGUUUGCGUAUUAACUGGAUGACCGAGACGAGUUUUGGUCUCUUUUUUGACUAAUUUCCUAAGUUUUCUCAAGUUAGGCGUACGGGGCUUGAAAUCGGUCUCCGUAUGUCAGAAUCAAGUCCCGUCAGUUCUAACGUGUGUCUAUUGCCUACGCGGUGCUAACUAGUUAUUUGACAGUUUAUAUAAGUAAUAUAAUUACAAAUAAGGAAAUACAUCAAUAAUAAGUUUUACCUGUCGAAUAUGUGGAGGAAAGAUGUUGGCCAAGACAACUGUACAUACACGGAUGGCCUCUUCCCGGACUACACCCAUGAGGUCGUCAGCAGCAGCUGUAGGAUCUAUGGAGCCGUGGACAACCUCCUGAGGAAGCUGGUAGAUCCGCUCGCGUGAUGGUGCGCCUGACUGCACGACACUACUCGACAUGCACCCCUCAAUGAUCCGCCUGAAGAAGUCGUCGGAUAAUGAAGGGCCGGCACCUGAUCCACUCUUACCACUACCUUCGGUGGGUGGGCGACGUCGAGAUCUCGCAGCAGGGACUAUAGUGUAGGCUGAGAAACGGGGAAUGCCCACAAUUCUACCCUUCUUCGGCUCCCCUGUAGCCUGCAGCCAGUCCUCUAUCUCCUCGUCGUCACGCUCAGCAUCAGCCACUGGAGUGUCACCUCUCUGGCUACUCCGGACCACAGAAAGGUCCUCGAACCGUGUCUAAAAAAACACAAAAAUAGUUAAAAAGCAAGUAUUUUGCUAAAAGAAUACAAAAGGAUUUCAAAGUCAUCAAAUACAUACUAACUAAAAUAAUUAAAUUACUUACCGCAAUGUGCUCUACCUCAGGUGAGAUAUAACCACCAUCACCUUUCUUCUGGUGAGCGUGCCACCAAAACUCAAGGUGGGAAGGUCGGUGCUUUAGACUCACCUCGAGUCUCUCCCUGUAGAGGUCGUACGACUGACUCCCGGUGCAGUGUGGGAGACGACUCUGCUGUCGGGCAGCUGUACGCUGUGCCGACAUCUUCUUGAACGCUUCACCCUCCCAAAUAUCGCACAUCUGCUCCCACACCGCAGCACCAAUGAAAUCUGGCCGGACAUCUCUAAGUGUCUGUCCAUCCGCCAUCUUGGUCUGGGCCUUCUUCUUCCAAUCAUAGACCCACUUGUGCCAAUUCAUCUCGAGAUACUUCCCGAGAACAGUGCUGCCGUGGGCUUCCUGCCCGUCCUCAAAGCGAUAAUAUCUCUGCAAUACAACAUAUGAAUAUCAGCAAUUACUUAAUUAGUAGACAACAUAAAACAAAGCGGUAAAUAAAUAUUCAAAAGCACAAAUUAAAACUAAAUAUGAAUGAAUGACAUCUUACCCUAAACUCAGCAAUAAUCAGCCCACGUGUGCGGCCAUCCACAUCCUCCCACCUCAUCCACGGGCUAGAGAAUCGGUUGCGGACGAUCCCAAGCAACGUGUUCCUUGGCGUCGCGUCAAGGAUACUAAAAAUGAAGGUAGUUAAAUUUCCAAAUUAUAAAGAAUAUAUAAAAGAACUAAAUAAUUAAUACAAACAUAAUGUAUAUAUUACCUAGUAGUCCCGACACGGCAUAUAAGCGGCGCCGCCUAGGGGGGAUUCCCUAGCAAUCCAUGUGCUAGUCCCCGCAGAGGCCUACGUCGAUCACCUAUGUAGUGAAAUACAAAAAUAUUUAUAUUCUUGAAUAUAAUGUCAAUAUUAUAUAAAAUUAAAAACAAUAAGAUGUAUAACAACAAAACUUGUAAUUAUACCUGAUGAUCCAGCCUGAUCAUCACCAGCACUACCUCCACGGCCCCCACGGCCUGAACUACCAGCACGUCCACCACGAUCACCGUGUGGUGUACGCGCCAUAUCUGUAUAUAUACUGUCAAAUCAUCAUCAAGAAGAUAAUAUGUGAAUACAACUAAAAGGAUACAACUAUUACAUUUGAAUACAACUAAAAGGACAUAAAGAGUACAUACUCCUAAUCAUUUAUAUCAUCAAAGCCAUCAAUAUCAGAAUCUUCAUCUUCGAGCAGUAGAUCUUCACUAUCGUUGUCAUCACCAUCUUCGUCAUCCUCAACGAUUUCUUCAAUUAUAUCUACCUCCUCAACAACAUCGUCUUCACUUUCGACAGCGACAACAUCAUCCUCUUCUUCACUAGACUCACUAAUAAUGGUCACAUCAGCAGGUGUGACACUAGUAGACUCGACUUGUAAAGGUUCAUCGUCUGGACGAGGAGCUGUGCCUUGAAAACCACGGGCUUUGGUGGUUAUAACAGCAUGCCAUGGGCUUGCAGAAGUCUUAACACUCCGCGCAUAGUACACCUGUGUUGCUUGACUUGCUAAAAUAAAUGGCUCGCCCAUACCAAUCAUCAGUCUUAGUUUUGACUUAACGUUAACAAUCACCCGUCCUGAUAUUUUAUCUAUUUUAACUCCAUUCUCAACAUCAAACCAAUGACAAUUGAAGCAAACUAAUUCUUUAUGACCCCAAUAUUUGAGAAUGACAACUUCUAUCAAUCGUCCAUACCAGUCAUCCCAAAUGUUAUCAUAGCAGCUACCUUUCACCACAACACCAGAAUCAGCAGAAGCGACAUCCCCAAUAUCACAACACUUAAAUCUGUAACCGUUGACAAUGCAACAUGUAUAAGUAUCUACAGAUCUUUCAGGGUCGUCGGCUAUAAGCUUUAGCCGAUUGUCAGCUAACUCAUCUGUGAGGACCUAAUGUACAUUAACACAACAUAUUCUAAAGUUAAUUACGCCAUAAGAAGAAAUCUAUGAUGGUAGAUUCAUUGAACUUGUAAAGGUUAGACUUACAUGGUCUUUAAACCAUUGCACAAAUUCUCCAUUUCUCAAAUUUUUCAAAUCCCCAUCCGAUAUACUCGGAUUCGCUUCACGUACUUCAACAUCAUAUUGACUGCAACACAGUUAUAUACUUAAUGUUUUUGUAAAGGAAAUUGACACAGUUACACCAGACAUAUAUAGUUAUGACUACUUACUUAAUGUAUGGCGCUACUUCAUUUAUGUUGACAAGUGCAUACAAUGUGGCAGCUGCAUACUCCUUAUCGGUCAAGAAUCGCCUUUUUUUACCGCCGAAUGGGCGUACAAGAUGACUAAAUGCCGUUAAUUCCCCAUUUUCCUCGUGCGCAACAGCCUGAUUUCGACGUAAGAGAUUGUGCUUCGUCUAAACAUCCGGCUCAAAGUACAACGAACAGAAAUUAACAAGUUCCUCCAUAACAUACCUUUCAGCAAUUGACCCCUCUACAUGGGCUCUAUUCUUCACCUUUUUCUUUAGACGUCGCAUAUACCUAUGUGAUAUAUAGAUUAGCAAAAAAGAAUGAACAUUUUAUCGUAUUAAAAAUAUUAAUGUCAUUACCUCUCGAAUGGAUACAUCCAUCUAUAUUGCACGGGACCGCCAGACUUAGCUUCGUAUGGCAAGUGAAUAGGCAAAUGCUCUAUUGAAUCAAAAAACGAUGAAGGGAAGAUCAUUUCUAACUUGCACAUUAUUUCCACUAUCUGCAUCUCCAUUUUAUCUAUGUCUUUGAGCUGAAGCUCCGUUAAGCAUAGAUCUCUGAAGAAAUUAGAAAGCUCUGUCAGUGCUUCAACCACACGUUUUGGUAACAAGUCGAUAAAUGCCACAGGGAUCAACUUCUGCAUGAAUACGUGAUAAUCAUGACUUUUGAGACCCCAAAACUUCAGCUCUUCGACUUUACAACACCUUGCUAUAUUCGAAGAAUAUCCAUCUGGGAGCUUCAGUCCACUAAUCCAAUUACAUAUCAAUAUCAGUUGUUCCCUGGUCAAAGUAUAUUCAGCUUUAGGCAUUACCGUCUUACUACCUUCCUGAUACAACCACAGAUCUUCCCUAAUGUUCAUUUCUACCAAAUCAAGUCUCGACUUGUUGUUGUCCUUUGUUCUACCACUGACAUCUAGGACUGUAUAAAAAAUGUUAUCAAAUACGUUCUUCUCAGUAUGCAUCGGAUCUAAACAAUGACGGAUGCAGAGUGUAGCCCAAUAAGGUAGGUCAAAGAACAUGGAUCUGUGUGUCCGGUUAUGAACCUUGUCGUAACCAUAAGCUCGCUCCAAUCUAUGAUUCUUCCCUGGAGGUGGAAACUUCAAAUGACUAAUCCAAUUCAACACUGCUGACCCAGAAAGGCGGCCAGGUACUUGACAUUUCUCUGUUUUUCGAUUGAAUUGUCUACUCAUCCGUCGAUAACGAUGUUCAAUCGGCAAAAAUUGUCUGGAUGUUGCAAAAAAACUCAUUUUCCCCUCAUGUUUGAGCCGCAUAGCUUUAACUGACCCCAUGCACACGGGACAUGAUAAGCCCCCGUGAGUCGACCAUCCACUGAUCAUUCCUAAAGCCAGGAAGUCAUUUAUUGUCCACAGUAAAGCUACCCUCAUGUCAAAGUUCUGCUUAAGAGAUACAUCAUAAGUUUGAACCCCUUUUUUCCACAACAUCUUCAACUCAUCAACUAACGGCCUGAGGUAUACAUUGAUGUCUUUACUCAGACUCUUAUCACCUGGAAUCAGUAAUGGCAUGAACAUGUAGGGAUCUUUCAUGCACAUCGAAGGUGGGAGGUUAUACACCACAAUAAUCACCAGCCAAGUUGAGUAGGGCUUUGUGUAAGGCCCGUUAAACGGAUUAAACCCAUCCGUAGCAAGUCCAAGCCUAACAUUGUGAACUUCUUCAGCAAACGAGGGGUGCUUGUUAUCAAAAUUUUUCCACUCAAGCCCAUCUGCCGGGUGCGUCAGUUGACCUUCGACUAUGUCCCGUGUAGAGUGCCACCUCAUAUCCUCGGCGGUAUGUGUUGACAUGAACAACCGCUGAAGCCUCGGGGCAACGGGAAAGUAACGUAAGAUCUUUCUCGGCACGUCUUUUCCCUUUUUGUUGCGCUGUUCACAGUAUCUACUUGUACCACAAAUAUCACAUGACCUCUUAUCUUUAUUAACAUCACCGUAAUACAACAUACAGUCAUUCUCACAAGCAUCAAUCUUCUCAUACCCUAGAUUGAACCUUUUGACCAUUUUCUUCACAUCAUAGUACGACUCCGGUAACUUAUUGCCUGCAGGUAAGCACUCCUUCACAAUGCUUAACAGUUCAUUAAAACCUCUCUCGCUACAGUCUUGCUCGUUCUUGAAGUGUAAAAACUUAGUCACGGCAGAUAAGACAGUGUGUUUUUCAUGCCCGUCAUACAAUGGCGUCACUGCUUCAUGCAAUAACUCAUAGAAACCCUUAGCCCCAUCAUUCGGCUCUUGCUCGACGCUACUGCCAUCCCUGUCUGUAUUCCACUGGAAGUAUGAACCAGUAGCUUCGACUAUCAUGUUAGUACAGUCAAAUGUUUCGUCACCUCCGGAUUCCGGUUCUGAUUCAUAUUCAUCCAACCAGGUUUCCCCAUGAUAGAUCCAUGUCGUAUAACCCUGCUUGAACCCAUACGCAAAUAAGUCGCACAUGACAUCACUCCUUUCCUUCCACACUUCAUUCACACACCUCUUACAAGGACAUCUGAUCUCAUCGCCGCUAACUUGCUCAAACGCAAAGUUAAGAAACUGUUCAACCCCAUUACGAUACUCAGAGCUAAGCCCACUCCUAUCACUGGCUACCCUACGUUCCAUCCAACUUCGAUCAAUAGACAUCUCGAACAACUGUCUGCUAUAUAUAUGGAAAGUUAGACAAACACAAUCAAGUCUCCAAGUUAAUGUAUAUGCAAGCUUAUGCGUUUCCUAACUUCAUCUCCCACUCUAACGGGUCAGGCUUCUAUCCCAUUCUUGGAUGUGUCGCCUCACUGAUGCCAACAACUUGAACACAUCUUUAUAUUUUCAGAAAUUUCGGCAGCACCUCCCCAUGGUCUUCAAGUACACGAAAUAGACUAACACAUCGUAGUCUAAAUAUGCACCCGAAGAACAUCAAGAGACAUAUACUGACCAAAAAUUCAAAAAAUAUAAAGACGUGCUCAAGUCGUUAACACCGACCUAAGUGAGAUCGAAACAUACAAGAACAGUCCUAAAACGGGGACUAUUUGAGAUUCACUCCUACUAAGUGAAUCUCAAACGGGUUUCUAAGCUUUCUAAACUAUAUGAAAAUAUGCACAUGUCAAAGUAUAAUGAGCUGGUAAAUUUCUUUAACCCACCCUCAAAUAGGAAAAAAACAAAUAAAUAUUGUUUUUGAAUGUGCUUUCAACUAACUAAGCAAAUAACUAGCAGUUUCUACAAAAUUCAGUUUGUAAGGAGAAAGGAUUCACCUUCAAACAUAACUUCUUUGGAAAUAUAUUCCCAAUCACCGCUUAGUAUAUUUCAAAGAUUGCGGUUAAGUUCAAUGGAUUUUUUCUUUUCACUUCACUUUCCAAAUGCAGGUCAAACAAAAGAUAAGCUAAUCAAGUAUUAGACCCUAAAAUAAUACAAAGAAAUCUAACAUAAUCAUACAAAGCAAAAGAUAGAGAAUUGGCUAAAGCAAUUCCUAAUCAGAAUUGGGGAUGCCCCUACAACCAGAACAAGUAAUUAUGCAAAUUGCGCGUUAGCUAGUCGUUCAUAUUACGCAAUUACAGUCAGUCACUGCAUCAAAAUUAAUAAAAUCUCCAUAUAUACUUCUUGCUUUAAUUUAAGCUUGAUAAACCCCUUCUGAUUAAACAUUAAAGAAGUCGAAGUGUAAACACCAUUUCACAACUAAAAAGGAAUAACCCAAUAAAGCAAACAAUGAGAUUAUUUAACUACUAACACAAUUAGAUUAAAGCAAAUAUGCCUAAAACUUUUAAAUAAAUAAAAUCAGAUAAUUAGUUCCAACAAAAUAAGAAUAACGAAAUCAUACCUAUUGCAAGUUGUGGGAAAACAAGAGUAAAGAAGAAGGAGAGAUGGAGCUGACCGGAAGGAGAGGGGGAGAGUCGCCGGAGAGGGGGAGGGUCGCCGGAAGGUAUGGCAGAGGGGGGAGAGACGCUGGAGGUGGCCGGCAGGAGGGGGGAGAAAAUCGUCGGAGGUGGCAGGAGGGGGGGAAGCUCACAUUAAUUGAUGCUCAAAUUGGCCGGAGGUGGCAGGAGGGGGAGAGAGUCGUCGGUCGGAAGGUAUAUCAGAGGAGGGAAAAGAAAGAGGGAAAUGAAAAGUAGUCGUUCCCGUCGAGAUGAGGGUUUUAAAAUUAGACUCAUUCUCGACGGCAACGCCAUCAUGAGUAACACCGUCGCCUAUGACUCAUUAUCGACGGCACUAGCGACGGACGUGCCGUCGUCAAUGCCUUUUCCCAUGCCCGCGAAAAAUUUCCCACCAAAACUGACCCGGGAUAUGUCAUUAUCGACGGGCCAUAUUGGCGACGGCUAGGCCGUCGCUAAUGAGUGUAAUAUCGACGGGGAUUCCACCGUCGAUAAUGAUGUCGUCGCUAUUGACUUGUUUUUUUGUAGUGGUACUAAUUCAUAUUUAAGCCUAUAUAAUACUCCCUCCGUUCUUAAAAGAUUGUCGUUUUAAGAGAAAAAAUUUAUUUCAAAAAGUUUGUCGUUUACAACUUUCGAGGAGAAUAAAUUAUUUAUUUUCCUAUAUUACCCCUACCUUCUCUCAUUGUGCCAAAAAAUUCUCUCCCUUGUAUUAAUAGUUUUCAAUUUUCCAUGAAGGGGUAGUGAUAAAAUUUCAAACAAAUUUUACUUGAUAAAUAACACUUCCUUAAUUCAUGUGUCAAAACCUUAAACGAUAAUUUUUUAGGAACAGAGAAAAUAUAUUGAUAAAGUGUGAGGCUUGAGUAACCGCUCUUUGAUGAUUUUUGGUCACAACCUAUGAUUAAUUAGGAAAAAAAAAUAGUUAGUUUGACUUUCAACGACAUUUACAUUUUAUUCAAUCUUAAUUUUUAACUUCCUCCUCUCUCUUCCACCCUCUAUCAUCUCCUAAAUUCUCACACAUGAUUUCUUUCUAUCAACUUUAAAACUCUUUAUCCAAAUAUUAUUAUAUCUCAAAUAUAAUAACAAUAAAAUCUAACCCUAAAUUAUACACACGCACCGCGCGUGUCCACUAUAUUUCAUAGAAGGCUCCACUAUUUCUGUAAAUUAUACACAUUAAAGAGUUUGUAUUACCGGUGCUUAUCACGAUAACAUUUACAGUGUUUAGAUCUCCGAACAAUAUGUUUAUAACAAUAUGUUUAUGAGUUAAAUAAAUUAUUAUUAAAUGAAUAAAAUUUUAAAGUGUAUUUAAACUUUCAAAAGAGUGUCAAACAGUACAAACACAGAGUAACUAAUAGGACAUUUGUAAAUACUAGUGUGGAGCCUAGCGGAGCUCGGGCUGAAGGUCCCGAACGUAACAAAACGGAACGAAGCGACGUACUAGGCCAUCAAAAUUUGC
RNAcentral lists this long non-coding RNA (11271 nucleotides) under Panax ginseng (ginseng). RNAcentral describes it as "long non-coding RNA (PGIN_LNC012132)". The record is from RNAcentral. Lineage: Eukaryota; Viridiplantae; Streptophyta; Magnoliopsida; Apiales; Araliaceae.